Molecule: ribosomal RNA, 1187 nt
Filed under: Escherichia coli
Lineage: Bacteria; Pseudomonadati; Pseudomonadota; Gammaproteobacteria; Enterobacterales; Enterobacteriaceae
Description: bacterial SSU rRNA
Rfam family: Bacterial small subunit ribosomal RNA
Source: RNAcentral
AAAUUGAAGAGUUUGAUCAUGGCUCAGAUUGAACGCUGGCGGCAGGCCUAACACAUGCAAGUCGAACGGUAACAGGAAGCAGCUUGCUGCUUCGCUGACGAGUGGCGGACGGGUGAGUAAUGUCUGGGAAACUGCCUGAUGGAGGGGGAUAACUACUGGAAACGGUAGCUAAUACCGCAUAACGUCGCAAGACCAAAGAGGGGGACCUUCGGGCCUCUUGCCAUCGGAUGUGCCCAGAUGGGAUUAGCUUGUUGGUGGGGUAACGGCUCACCAAGGCGACGAUCCCUAGCUGGUCUGAGAGGAUGACCAGCCACACUGGAACUGAGACACGGUCCAGACUCCUACGGGAGGCAGCAGUGGGGAAUAUUGCACAAUGGGCGCAAGCCUGAUGCAGCCAUGCCGCGUGUAUGAAGAAGGCCUUCGGGUUGUAAAGUACUUUCAGCGGGGAGGAAGGGAGUAAAGUUAAUACCUUUGCUCAUUGACGUUACCCGCAGAAGAAGCACCGGCUAACUCCGUGCCAGCAGCCGCGGUAAUACGGAGGGUGCAAGCGUUAAUCGGAAUUACUGGGCGUAAAGCGCACGCAGGCGGUUUGUUAAGUCAGAUGUGAAAUCCCCGGGCUCAACCUGGGAACUGCAUCUGAUACUGGCAAGCUUGAGUCUCGUAGAGGGGGGUAGAAUUCCAGGUGUAGCGGUGAAAUGCGUAGAGAUCUGGAGGAAUACCGGUGGCGAAGGCGGCCCCCUGGACGAAGACUGACGCUCAGGUGCGAAAGCGUGGGGAGCAAACAGGAUUAGAUACCCUGGUAGUCCACGCCGUAAACGAUGUCGACUUGGAGGUUGUGCCCUUGAGGCGUGGCUUCCGGAGCUAACGCGUUAAGUCGACCGCCUGGGGAGUACGGCCGCAAGGUUAAAACUCAAAUGAAUUGACGGGGGCCCGCACAAGCGGUGGAGCAUGUGGUUUAAUUCGAUGCAACGCGAAGAACCUUACCUGGUCUUGACAUCCACAGAACUUUCCAGAGAUGGAUUGGUGCCUUCGGGAACUGUGAGACAGGUGCUGCAUGGCUGUCGUCAGCUCGUGUUGUGAAAUGUUGGGUUAAGUCCCGCAACGAGCGCAACCCUUAUCCUUUGUUGCCAGCGGUCCGGCCGGGAACUCAAAGGAGACUGCCAGUGAUAAACUGGAGGAAGGUGGGG